UUCCAUCUGGAAGAAGUCUGGAGACAGGUGCUGCAUGGCUGUCGUCAGCUCGUGUCGUGAGAUGUUGGGUUAAGUCCCGCAACGAGCGCAACCCUUGCCUUUAGUUGCCAGCAGUUCGGCUGGGCACUCUAAAGGGACUGCCGGUGUUAAACCGGAGGAAGGUGGGGAUGACGUCAAGUCCUCAUGGCCUUUAUGACCAGGGCUACACACGUACUACAAUGGCCGAUACAAAGGGCAGCGACACUGCGAGGUGAAGCCAAUCCCGUAAAAUCGGUCUCAGUCCGGAUUGGAGUCUGCAACUCGACUCCAUGAAGUUGGAAUCGCUAGUAAUCGUGGAUCAGCAUGCCACGGUGAAUACGUUCCCGGGCCUU
This 371-nucleotide ribosomal RNA is filed under the name uncultured Desulfobulbus sp. RNAcentral's name for it is "bacterial SSU rRNA". It matches the Rfam family "Bacterial small subunit ribosomal RNA", at positions 1012 to 1382 of the family's 1533-position model. The record is from RNAcentral. Lineage: Bacteria; Pseudomonadati; Thermodesulfobacteriota; Desulfobulbia; Desulfobulbales; Desulfobulbaceae.